AGAGUUUGAUCCUGGCUCAGGAUGAACGCUGGCGGCGUGCCUAACACAUGCAAGUCGAACGAAGCACUGUAAACGGAGAUUCGUCGAAGUUUACUUUGACUUAGUGGCGGACGGGUGAGUAAUGUAUGAGCAACCUGCCUUUCAGUGGGGGACAACAGUUGGAAACGACUGCUAAUACCGCAUGAUGUCAAUUGGGGGCAUCCCCAAAUGACCAAAGGAUUUAUUCGCUGAAAGAUGGGCUCAUAUCUGAUUAGCUAGUUGGUGAGGUAACGGCUCACCAAGGCUGCGAUCAGUAGCCGGACUGAGAGGUUGAACGGCCACAUUGGGACUGAGAUACGGCCCAGACUCCUACGGGAGGCAGCAGUGGGGAAUAUUGGGCAAUGGGCGAAAGCCUGACCCAGCAACGCCGCGUGAAGGAAGAAGGUCUUCGGAUUGUAAACUUCUUUUAUGAGGGACGAAGGACGUGACGGUACCUCAUGAAUAAGCCACGGCUAACUACGUGCCAGCAGCCGCGGUAAUACGUAGGUGGCAAGCGUUAUCCGGAUUUACUGGGUGUAAAGGGCGCGUAGGCGGGGAUGCAAGUCGGAUGUGAAAUCUAUGGGCUUAACCCAUAAACUGCAUUUGAAACUGUGUCUCUUGAGUGCUGGAGAGGUAGACGGAAUUCCUUGUGUAGCGGUGAAAUGCGUAGAUAUAAGGAAGAACACCAGUGGCGAAGGCGGUCUACUGGACAGUAACUGACGCUGAGGCGCGAGAGCGUGGGGAGCAAACAGGAUUAGAUACCCUGGUAGUCCACGCUGUAAACGAUGAAUACUAGGUGUGGGAGGACUGACCCCUUCCGUGCCGCAGUUAACACAAUAAGUAUUCCACCUGGGGAGUACGGCCGCAAGGUUGAAACUCAAAGGAGUUGACGGGGGCCCGCACAAGCGGAGGAACAUGUGGUUUAAUUCGAUGAUACGCGAGGAACCUUACCCGGGCUUGAAUUGCAGAGGAAGGAUUUAGAGAUAAUGACGCCCUUCGGGGCCUCUGUGAAGGUGCUGCAUGGUUGUCGUCAGCUCGUGCCGUGAGGUGUCGGCUUAAGUGCCAUAACGAGCGCAACCCCUCUCCGUAGUUGCCAUCGGGUGAUGCCGGGCACUCUGCGGACACUGCCACCGUAAGGUGUGAGGAAGGUGGGGAUGACGUCAAAUCAGCACGGCCCUUACGUCCGGGGCUACACACGUGUUACAAUGGGGCAUACAGAGCGCCGGCGGCCGGCAACGUCCGUCCAAUCGCGAAAGUGUCCCCCAGUUCGGACUGGGGUCUGCAACCCGACCCCACGAAGCUGGAUUCGCUAGUAAUCGCGCAUCAGCCAUGGCGCGGUGAAUACGUUCCCGGGCCUUGUACACACCGCCCGUCAAGCCAUGAAAGCCGGGGGCGCCUGAAGUCCGUGUCCGCAAGGGUCGGCCUAGGGCGAAACCGGUGAUUGGGGCUAAGUCGUAACAAGGUA
Molecule: ribosomal RNA, 1483 nt
Filed under: metagenome
Description: bacterial SSU rRNA
Rfam family: Bacterial small subunit ribosomal RNA
Source: RNAcentral